Molecule: long non-coding RNA, 502 nt
Organism: Papaver somniferum (opium poppy)
Lineage: Eukaryota; Viridiplantae; Streptophyta; Magnoliopsida; Ranunculales; Papaveraceae
Exons: 2
Source: RefSeq, a predicted model, not a curated record
CAAAGUUGCCUCCUUCUAUUCUGAAUCUGAGUCGGAGAAGAAUUUCAAGAACAAUCUGUUUCUUGUUUCAAACACCAGAAAUCUAAUGAUUUGAAGAUUCAGAAAAUACUUUCAUUCGUUCUCAACAGAACUCCUCUCUUAUGCAAAUAUCUAGAACAGUUCUAGAAACUUAUUAACUUAAAUCUUCUUUCUGCUCUCCUAAACAGUCUUCAUGGAAAAGCAAUUAGCAUCCGGAUCAGCACCAGCAGCUGAGACAAGUGAAAGACAACGUCCACCGGUUCCAAUGGCAGCACCUUGGCUUAUUUUUCCACAUGGAGAAGGGCGCACUGUCCGGAUGAAGUGGAAGCGCAGGAUACUCUAGAAGCAUUACAUUGGACCAAAAUAAAAUCUACUUCUCUAGAUUACAAGACCAAAAUAUAAUCUGAUUCAGGUUCCUAUUUUUCUCUUACUGUAAAAAUGUUGAGCUGGGCACCAAGGUAAAAACUCUUAUUAUGUUGGUUCC